UACGGAGGGUGCUAGCGUUGUUCGGAAUUACUGGGCGUAAAGGGCGCGUAGGCGGCCGUUUGCGUCGGAUGUGAAAGCCCGGGGCUCAACCUCGGAACGGCAUUCGAUACGGGACGGCUGGAGACCGGGAGAGGAGAGUGGAAUAGCCAGUGUAGAGGUGAAAUUCGUAGAUAUUGGCUGGAACACCGGUUGCGAAAGCCGCUCUCUGGCCCGGUUCUUACGCUGAGGCGCGAAAGCCUGGGGAGCAAACAGG
RNAcentral lists this ribosomal RNA (253 nucleotides) under uncultured bacterium. RNAcentral describes it as "partial 16S ribosomal RNA". It matches the Rfam family "Bacterial small subunit ribosomal RNA", at positions 524 to 776 of the family's 1533-position model. The record is from RNAcentral.